UAGGGAAUAUUGCACAAUGGGGGCAACCCUGACCGAGCAACGCCGCGUGAGUGAAGAAGGUUUUCGGAUCGUAAAGCUCUGUUGUAAGUCAAGAACGAGUGUGAGAGUGGAAAGUUCACACUGUGACGGUAGCUUACCAGAAAGGGACGGCUAACUACGUGCCAGCAGCCGCGGUAAUACGUAGGUCCCGAGCGUUGUCCGGAUUUAUUGGGCGUAAAGCGAGCGCAGGCGGUUUGAUAAGUCUGAAGUUAAAGGCUGUGGCUCAACCAUAGUUCGCUUUGGAAACUGUCAAACUUGAGUGCAGAAGGGGAGAGUGGAAUUCCAUGUGUAGCGGUGAAAUGCGUAGAUAUAUGGAGGAACACCGGUGGCGAAAGCGGCUCUCUGGUCUGUAACUGACGCUGAGGCUCGAAAGCGUGGGGAGCGAACAGGAUUAGAUACCCUGGUAGUCCACGCCGUAAACGAUGAGUGCUAGGUGUUGGAUCCUUUCCGGGAUUCAGUGCCGCAGCUAACGCAUUAAGCACUCCGCCUGGGGAGUACGACCGCAAGGUUGAAACUCAAAGGAAUUGACGGGGGCCCGCACAAGCGGUGGAGCAUGUGGUUUAAUUCGAAGCAACGCGAAGAACCUUACCAGGUCUUGACAUCCCGAUGCUAUUUCUAGAGAUAGAAAGUUACUUCGGUACAUCGGUGACAGGUGGUGCAUGGUUGUCGUCAGCUCGUGUCGUGAGAUGUUGGGUUAAGUCCCGCAACGAGCGCAACCCCUAUUGUUAGUUGCCAUCAUUCAGUUGGGCACUCUAGCGAGACUGCCGGUAAUAAACCGGAGGAAGGUGGGGAUGACGUCAAAUCAUCAUGCCCCUUAUGACCUGGGCUACACACGUGCUACAAUGGUUGGUACAACGAGUUGCGAGUCGGUGACGGUAAGCUAAUCUCUUAAAGCCAAUCUCAGUUCGGAUUGUAGGCUGCAACUCGCCUACAUGAAGUCGGAAUCGCUAGUAAUCGCGGAUCAGCACGCCGCGGUGAAUACGUUCCC
This 1027-nucleotide ribosomal RNA is filed under the name uncultured bacterium. Its description in RNAcentral is "bacterial SSU rRNA". It matches the Rfam family "Bacterial small subunit ribosomal RNA", at positions 355 to 1375 of the family's 1533-position model. The record is from RNAcentral.